RNAcentral lists this ribosomal RNA (435 nucleotides) under uncultured bacterium. RNAcentral's name for it is "bacterial SSU rRNA". It matches the Rfam family "Bacterial small subunit ribosomal RNA", at positions 958 to 1392 of the family's 1533-position model. The record is from RNAcentral.
AACGCGAAGAACCUUACCUAAGCUUGACAUCCUUUUGACCGAUGCCUAAUCGCAUCUUUCCCUUCGGGGACAGAAGUGACAGGUGGUGCAUGGUUGUCGUCAGCUCGUGUCGUGAGAUGUUGGGUUAAGUCCCGCAACGAGCGCAACCCUUGCCUUUAGUUGCCAGCAUUAAGUUGGGCACUCUAGAGGGACUGCCAGGGAUAACCUGGAGGAAGGUGGGGAUGACGUCAAAUCAUCAUGCCCCUUAUGCUUAGGGCUACACACGUGCUACAAUGGGUGGUACAGAGGGCAGCCAAGUCGUGAGGCGGAGCUAAUCCCUUAAAGCCAUUCUCAGUUCGGAUUGUAGGCUGAAACUCGCCUACAUGAAGCUGGAGUUACUAGUAAUCGCAGAUCAGAAUGCUGCGGUGAAUGCGUUCCCGGGCCUUGUACACACCG